RNAcentral lists this unclassified non-coding RNA (7941 nucleotides) under Homalodisca vitripennis (glassy-winged sharpshooter). Its description in RNAcentral is "mitogen-activated protein kinase kinase kinase 4, transcript variant X1". The record is from RNAcentral. Lineage: Eukaryota; Metazoa; Arthropoda; Insecta; Hemiptera; Cicadellidae.
UCGUGUUGCCUAGCGAGCAGCUGGUACUGACUGGUGCCUGUUUUAUUUGUUGUCAAGUCAAGAGUGACAACUGACAACUAAAGUGCACUGUGAAUGACAUUAACGUGAUGGCUCUUUUCAAUUUGUUGUUUGAUUGUGUUUAGCUACUGAAGUUAUGAAAGAAAUUGUAAAACGUGCUUUAUUUCUCCUUAACACAAAGAUAUUAAUCUUUGAAAAUAACCGGUAAUUUUCACCAUGGCUGAUGACAAUUGGAAGGAAAGACUAGGAAUUGAAAUAAAUUAUUCUUCUGAAGAUGAUGAUUCCAGACAGAAGCAGGAGGACUUGUCACCACUCAGUCCGGGUGUGGAUGAUGUCCUGAUGAACUUUGAUCACUUAGGCACUACUCCGCCUCGCACCCGCAUUCGGAACAAGGAUAAGAGCCGGCGGGAGAAAGACGCAAGCACGAAGCCAGCUCCACGCAUUAUCUACAGUGGAAGGAGUUCUUCGGAGAAGAAUUUCUUCAGCAGAAAUAAUUCUGAAAGCUUUGAUGACGAAGUGGACAAUGUAGUGGACGGUCGCAAGCCCAGCUACAACAAGCGAACGAUGCAGCGUCUGCGGGGCUCGGAGCGUGACUUCAAACUGGAUCAGAGCGACAUACGACUCCCUGCUCCCCCACCCCGUGAGGACCGGGCAGAGAGCUUGCCCCCUCAGACACCCUUCAAGAUAUUCGGAUUGCAGGUGGAGUCAUGUAACCGGUUCAUGUCCCUCUCAUCAAAACUGGUCUCAUCGCGCAAUGUAAGGCUGCCACAACCAUGUUCUGCAGCCAGCGCAGACGAGGUGGCGCAGAGCCGCAUAGAGUUCUACCAGACGUUCUCCUUGCUGAUUAAGAUGGGAAAUCCGGAUCGCAACAACCCACCUUGUCCGGAUCGUGACUCUGUCUACUGCAAGCGACAGCUGAGCAAGGAAGAGCACAUGUGGCAGAAUGAGCUGAAGGAUCUAAUCUGGCUAGAAUUGCAGGCUUGGCACGCAGACAGGACACCUCAGCAGCAGGACGACUUCCUAUGUGAGGCCAGAGAGGCAGUACAGCCUUUGCUACUCGAGAUCAUCAACUACAGGUUUCAGAAGCGCACAGAUCCUACACUCAGUAAUGACAGCGGUAUCCAUAUUCCAGAGACAAUGCAGAGUAAUGAAGAGGAAGAUCACGACUGUUGCAUGCUGUCCAUGUUCUGUCCCCGCUGUAUGGAACAACAGAACAAUGCAUUGCGAGAUGUGGAGACCUUGAUGCGCAGGCUGCAGGCUGCAGAGGCUCUGUUCCCCUCCAGUAAAGCCUUUGCGGCCCAGUACCCCUUGUAUAUGAGUGACAAAUUGGUUGGGAGAGUCAAGGCCAUGUGUGUGUGGUACAACAUGACCAAGAACCACAGGCUCAAGCUGCUCAUCCUGGGCAAGCAGUUGCUGAGUCAUGCAGAGAAAAACCAGUCAGACGCUACUGAAUGGAUCGACUGUCAUAGUGUUCUGCAUGAGCUGAGUGAUCUGCUGAACCACAACAUCAAGUGUUCCUCCAGUGUCACCUCGGACAAGGACUGGCUUAAGGACUUCUAUGACACCCAGCCACUGCUGCGAGCUGCCAGCUACCUUGAACAGGCCGACAAGAACAAUCUUGUAUUCAGGAGUUACCUAGAAGAUGUGUUAAAAACCAAGGGGUUACGGAAAGCACUUAACUUUCUGGAGAAACUGCACAUCUCGAUGCUGCGGAAAGCGAGCUACACUUUACAGAAACCCAACUUGGACCAGAAAUAUGAGAAAGAGGGGGAGUGUUUCGAUGAGCAGGAGAUGCGCCGUUACGGCUACUGGAGUCCUGAAUCACAAGCACUGGGGCUUCCGUCGUAUCGUGCCGCAUAUCUUUUUAUCUCCCACAUCCCACUUGACAUGAUCCACGCAUACCUGCGACUGCGUCUAGAGACCAAACCAGAGCAGCCAUCCGUCAUGAGUAUCAGACAGCUGAUCCAAGAGCUGAAGGAGGGUCUUAGGCUGGCUGUGCUAAACCGACAAAGGUAUCUGGACAAUGUGAAAACUUCACUGUGGAACUGCACAACAGAGAUUGUGGAGAACUUCAAGAACAGAGUGACAGCAUUUGAUGCUAGUGUACAGAGUGUGCUGGAGGUAUACCUGGAGUAUCUUCAACAGUGGGUACAGAUGAUAGAGCAGCAGAGGGUUCAGAAGAAUAUCCUGAAGGAGGAAUGGUCUUUUAUCUCUGGCAUUACGAAACACAUUCCCGGCGGCCAAGCAGUUGUAGGCAGCAGCUUCUGUCGGAUGGCCACAUCCAUGUUUAAGAUCAACCGAGAACAGUUCAAGAAUCAAGUGGACAAGUUGACAGAAAGCAUUGCUCAUGUUACUGAGGCUGAGAGUGCGUUCAAGCAGACAAUGUUCUCUGUGUGUCGCAAACUACAAGUGGUCUGUGGAGAUGGCAGGGAGAAGAUUAUUAGUGUCCUCAUCCUAUCUAAGAUGCUGCGUAAAGAUCUGGAGAGUGACACCAAUGAAAGUGUACGUUCUUCGCUGUGUAGCAACAUCAUUGGUGACUCUCUUUCACAGCUUAAGAGAGAAGCCCUCAGCAUGUGUGAGUGUAUCUCUGAGAUUGUAAGGCAGAUAGAUGAGGCUAGCCAGGUGCCCGAGGACUGGGAUGAGAGUGAUAAGGAUGUACUUCAAAGUCGGAUCAGGGAAGUACUCCAUCAGUUCUUCAAAUUUGGCUUCGAGUACCAAAAGGAGGUCUGCUGGCUGGUGACAGGAGGGUCACGCUCUCAGCUCGCCCAACGUCUCAUCUCCUUUGCACAGUUGUGGAUGACAUUUGUGCGGACACGCUGUGAGCGCGGUCGUGGCCUCAGACCUCGCUGGGCCAACCAUGGCCUUGACUUCAUCAUGACUGUCUGCGAGCCCCACUUCACCAGCUGCAUCAGUGAUGAAGAGUUCGAGGAGCUGAAGUCCAACAUAGAUGAUUGUGUCUCCCAUGUAAUCGGCACAGCUGUGGCCAAUGGAGGCACCUCUCCUGGCACACCAGGCUCGUACUAUCGCAAUCGUGGUGUGUCUCCCUCCCCUUCCACCCCUCGGCCUACCCGUGUCUCCCGUCAGGAGAGGGGACCCAGCACCCCUGCCAGUCCGGAGAUCCGGAGCGAGGCCACAUCCUCUAACGAGGAGAAAGAUGGUACUAUUGUGGAAACGCUUAUUUGUCCUGUCCGCAAGGUAUCUCGACAAGACAAGUUGCUGGUGGCUGUGAAAGAGUUGGACCGCACUCUGGAGGAUAGGUUGCGGAACGACAGUCUUAUCGGCAACAUCGUGGCAGUGCGGGCCAGCAGUUCCGAGCAGACAUUCGUGCGGCCACGGACUGUCACCUUCGGCUGGCAGCGAGGCAUCAAGAUAGGCCAAGGCAGGUUUGGCAAAGUAUACACUGCCGUCAACAACGAGACCGGAGAGCUCAUGGCUAUGAAAGAGAUCGCUCUACAGCCCAAUGAUCAUAGGACCAUACGUAGCGUGGCCACAGAGCUAAAGAUAUUUGAGGGCAUUGUCCAUGAAAACCUGGUGCGGUACUACGGCGUCGAGAUACACCGGGAGGAAAUGCUGAUAUUCAUGGAGCUGUGUACAGAAGGCACCCUAGAGUCUUUAGUGGCAGCUACAGAAUCUGGGCUGCCAGAGGCCUGCAUCAGACGUUACACUCUGCAGCUGACCCGUGCCGUAGCGACUCUACACAAGCACUCUAUUGUACACAGAGAUAUCAAGAGUGCUAAUAUCUUCUUGACAGCAGAGGGCAAUUGUCUCAAACUUGGAGACUUUGGGUCAGCAGUGAAGAUCAAGGCUCACACCACUGUGCCUGGGGAAUUACAGGGCUUUGUGGGCACUCAGGCAUAUAUGGCUCCAGAAGUGUUCAUGAAAUCCAACUCAGACGGCCAUGGAAGGGCAGUGGAUGUCUGGUCUCUGGGCUGUGUGCUAAUAGAAAUGGGCUCGGGCAAGAGGCCAUGGGCAGAAUACGACUCCAACUACCAGAUCAUGUUCAAGGUGGGAAUGGGAGAGACCCCAGAGAUCCCUGACUCUCUUAGUGAGGAGGGUCAGCACUUUGCUGCAAAAUGUCUGGUCCAUGACCCCAAGCAGAGAGCCACAAUAACGGAACUGCUUGUCCACACUUUCCUUGCGGUGGAAGGAGAUGAUGAAUUUAUCUCAUCCACUGUGCCUUCCAUUUUGGAGGACUAUCUCAAGUUGGGCAUCAAGAGGUGAACUGUUGAAAGCAGGCUGUGUACAACCAUGAUAUUGGCAAAGUUCGCCUGUUGAGCACUCCCAGUACAACUGGAAAAGUUCUCCGAUUGUUUCUUUAUUUUUGACUCAAGUGUUCAUUGUAUUGCUGUAACUUUAUUUUUAUUUUAUAUAUCUUUAGAAAUUUUUAGAAAACUUUAUUGUUGGUACUUAAUGUUCGUUUUUUGUGUAAUUGCAUGUUAGUAAUUAAUUGUAACAUUUAAAAUUCACUGUACUUAUUUUAUUCAACUUUAUGAAUUUCCUAUCCAUUUUCACUAGUACUUUAAUGAAUUGAUUUACUCAUUUUAUUUCAGAAAUGUUUAUGGACACUAUCUUUGAUUUUACAAGUUUUUUUUUAUAUUUUAGAAUGUCCACAUUUGGUUACAGUUUUGUGUUUUGUAAUGUACAACAGAUCUGAGAAGAGAUGAUGGUGGUUGUGUUAUCAUCUACAUUGGAUGUGGUGUGGAAUGUUGACUAUAAAAUAUAUGAGUAUUUUAUUUUGUAUAAGGUUCAGGAAAGAUGGUCUCCAGUUUUUUUCUCAAAACAACAUCUGAAGAACCAGUCACAGUUUGUAACUCCAAAAGAGGAAAGCUGAAUCAUUAUAAAAUCUUAUUAAUUUACUAUGUUGAACAAAUAAUAAUUGAUAAUUAUUAAUUUUUAAAACUAAAAUCAUUCAUUAAAAAACUUAACCAACGCACAGGUUUUACAUGUAUUACAUUUUUUUAUCUACUUAUUUACUUAUAUUGUUUUUAUUUAAAUUAAUGUUGAAAUGUCUCCAUUAUAGUUAGUUUAUAAACUUGAAUAGAUUACAAGUGAAAACACAUAAUUUGUAAAACCAAAGAACCAUUUGAUUCUUAUAUCCAUCUGAUAAAAAAUUCUUAGUUUUUUUCUAAAUUCAUACAUAAAAAAAAUUUAGUCCUGUUUUUUUUUUUGUUAUUUGUAAAAUUGUCAUGAUGAAUCAGUUUUAUAAUUAUCAUUGAUAUAAUUUUUAUGUUAAUUAUAAAUAACAUCAACUGGAUUCAACCCUAAUUUAUGUAUAAUCAAUUUAAUAAUUCUCCCUAUUAGUAAUAAAAGAUUUGAUUUUUUUUAUACAUCUAUUUAUAUCAGGUAUAUUAUUUAAAGGUAAUAAGUGUUAGCAUAUUUGUUUUAUAUUUUGAAUUCAUAUUACAAUAUUUAGCUAUUUUACCGGUGUUGUGGUAUAAAUUGAGGUCAAUUUCAGCACAAAAGUAAGUAAAUUUAUAAGACAUAAUGUAUUUAUCUAUAACUGAAUUAUUUCUUCUGUUAAAAUAUUAUAGUAAUACCUUGAUUAACCAUCUUUAUCAUGACCUAGAUUGUGAUGGAAGAGCAAAUAGAUGGAUAAUAGAAAUACAGCAGAACUCCAAACUAUUAUUUUACCAGUAGAUUUUUACUCUUGUUUUGGUAUGAAAUUAAAAUGAAUGUGUUUACGAUUAAAAACUCAGUCUGGUUAUUUUACUACUACAAUGAGAUAACUACUGUGCAAGCUGGUUAUAAUAAGUUUGAUAAUCAAUAAGUUUUAAGUAGUGAGAAACUGCAUCUUUAAUUUAAGUAUGUAAUACAAAAUUUAGUUUUUUACUUGUCUUAUGACCAAAUGAAGGUUACCUUCCAGAUAUAUUUUUCAAGUGCUGUUUUUAAAUAGUAUCUUAUUCACAUCAAUUUGCAUGUUGCAUAGUCUUAGUGAAAUUUAUAUAUAUAAAAAAACAGUUGGGACAUUAUUUACUUUUAUUAUUUUAUUUCAAAAACCUGUUUCAACACAUUAUAGAUAUAAAACAGCAAAAGUAAAUAAUGUCCCAACUGUUUCAAGUUCAUUUAUAAGUAUAUUGUUUUAAUAGUACUUUUUUGAGUCAUUAAAAUACUAAAUUGUCAUGUAGAAACUUAUUUGAUGUAUUUAUAAAUAUAACCUUCGUUAUUUUAUUUCUGUUUUUAUGAUUAUACAAAAUCAAAUGUCUGUAAUAAAAUACAAACUCAUCUCAGGGAAGGUUUAGAGGCUCAAAACGUAAAAAUGCAACAGACGAAUUAAUAUUUUUUAUUCACUGCUUUAUUUUAUAUAAUUAUUUGAAUGUUAUAAUGUUCAGUACAUAAUAUUUUGUACGACAAAAACAACCAUAAAAGUCCUUGAAUUUUAUCAAUAAAAAAUAAUAGCUCUUUUUCAGUAUUUUAACCCUUGAAGUGGAAGUAGAAAUUUCCUAAAAUGACCAACUAUUUUUGGGUUUUGUAGACAUGCAUGUAUUUUUAAAAUACAUAUUUAAUAUUACAAACCUAUAUUUAUUGCACAUAAUGUUUCCAUAAGAAUCUAUAGAUAAUUACUGCAUGUAAAGUUCUACUUUUUAAAUAAACUUUUUUGUUGAACCAAAUACGUUUUGAAAAAGGUUUUUUGUUUUCAAAUGUUGUGGGAGUGCACUGAACAUUUGAUAAUAUAAAAUAUUUUUAAACCACAUUCAAUUUUAUACAUGGUCGAUAGAAGAUAACUAUGUUACUUCAAAACUACAAAUAGUAUAAAACAAAUUAUAUUGGGUUUUAAAAAAAUUGUGAGUUAAAUUCAUAGCUCUUUAAGAUAAUUUCCGUGGAAACAAAAUAAGUAAAAACAAAGAAAACUUUUUGGACACUCCAUGUGAAAUUACAGGGGUUUAAAAUAGGAAAUGUAGACAAUUUUGUAUUAAGGCCCAAAUACAAACGGUUGAAGAUAAAAAUAUAAAAUUAUUAUAGUAUGUAGAUUGUUGCUUCACGGAGUGACAUUUUUUUAAAUAUUUGUUCUUUACAAAAUUAAAUAUUAGAAAAAAACAUUUUACUCCCUGAAGUUAUAACUUAUUUAUUAUUUUGUAAACAUUGGAUCUCCAUGUAGUAAAACAAAAUAACCACUGAAAUCAGCACCUCUAUGUAGGUGGUGCGCAAAAGUGGGGCUAGAUUUAAACCAACUGCAGUUAGGCAAUCCAGUUUGAAUUAAAAAUCACCAUACAAUUCUUUCUAUUUCGAUUCUUCUCGUGACAAAGUCGUAAUAAUGGCUAACAGUGACUCAUUUAUUGGUUUAUUACUGUAGUUAAAAUAGCUCAAGGUGCCUUCAGAAUAUAUUGUAAAACUAAAUUGUCUAUUUUAUUAAUGAAUUUUGAACACAAAGUAUCGACUGACUAGAAAUAGAAUAUUUUUAUACGAAGAAUGAACACAACUGAAAUAAUAGUCGAGAAAUCUGUGGAUGGUGUUUGUUUUAUGUCAGUUCUAUGUAGUGUUAAUAUUUACUCUUAAUAAGCAUGUACAAAUUAUUUCUUCCCAACACAUUUCCAUUUUCCUUUUAGUAAAAAGCUCUCAUAAAUGGUUAAAUGGUCUACACAGUUUUCAGUCAUAACUGAUAUCAGAUUUAUAGGGGAUUCAAAAUCUGCCACAUUUCUAAAUUGAAAAUAGUAAUAGUAAUAAUUUUAUAAAUGGAAAUGUGUUAUCUUCAUAUCCCUGCUGUUACCCAAUAGUUAUUUUAUUGUUGUUUGAUUCCUGGUACAUACAAACUACUUCUUAGUAAACUUGUUGUUAUUGUUGAUUUUAUUCAUAAUAUCUAGAAAGUAAUUUAAUUAAAUGUUAAGUUUGUUGUAAAAUUAUUAUUGUUGCUGAUUAGUUAUUAAAUUUAAUGGUUUAUACAAAAAUAAUCUUUUUAUUAUGAUCAUAAAUGAAACCCAGCUUGGA